GCCCAGGCGGUCAUGUUUAGAAACUGCAGGCCCAGGUAGAAGGACCUUGAAGAGAAGAGGAAUUCUUGCUCCCUGUAGGUUGUAAGAAUGGUCAAAAGGA
Long non-coding RNA from Neomonachus schauinslandi (Hawaiian monk seal), 100 nucleotides. RefSeq lists it as uncharacterized. The record is from RefSeq and is a predicted model, not a curated record. The transcript has 3 exons. Lineage: Eukaryota; Metazoa; Chordata; Mammalia; Carnivora; Phocidae.